AUUAGAGUUUGAUCCUGGCUCAGGAUGAACGCUAGCGGCAGGCUUAACACAUGCAAGUCGAGGGGUAUAGUUCUUCGGAAUUAGAGACCGGCGCACGGGUGCGUAACGCGUAUGCAAUCUACCUUUCACAGAGGGAUAGCCCAGAGAAAUUUGGAUUAAUACCUCAUAGUAUAUCGAGUUGGCAUCAACAUGAUAUUAAAGUCACAACGGUGAAAGAUGAGCAUGCGUCCCAUUAGCUAGUUGGUAAGGUAACGGCUUACCAAGGCAACGAUGGGUAGGGGUCCUGAGAGGGAGAUCCCCCACACUGGUACUGAGACACGGACCAGACUCCUACGGGAGGCAGCAGUGAGGAAUAUUGGACAAUGGGCGCAAGCCUGAUCCAGCCAUGCCGCGUGCAGGAUGACGGUCCUAUGGAUUGUAAACUGCUUUUGCACAGGAAGAAACACUACUUCGUGAAGUAGCUUGACGGUACUGUGAGAAUAAGGAUCGGCUAACUCCGUGCCAGCAGCCGCGGUAAUACGGAGGAUCCAAGCGUUAUCCGGAAUCAUUGGGUUUAAAGGGUCCGUAGGCGGUUUAGUAAGUCAGUGGUGAAAGCCCAUCGCUCAACGGUGGAACGGCCAUUGAUACUGCUAAACUUGAAUUAUUAGGAAGUAACUAGAAUAUGUAGUGUAGCGGUGAAAUGCUUAGAGAUUACAUGGAAUACCAAUUGCGAAGGCAGGUUGCUACUAAUGGAUUGACGCUGAUGGACGAAAGCGUGGGU
Molecule: ribosomal RNA, 760 nt
Filed under: uncultured Flavobacterium sp.
Lineage: Bacteria; Pseudomonadati; Bacteroidota; Flavobacteriia; Flavobacteriales; Flavobacteriaceae
Description: bacterial SSU rRNA
Rfam family: Bacterial small subunit ribosomal RNA
Source: RNAcentral